Molecule: transfer RNA, 65 nt
Filed under: Margattea multipunctata
Lineage: Eukaryota; Metazoa; Arthropoda; Insecta; Blattodea; Pseudophyllodromiidae
Description: tRNA-His
Source: RNAcentral
ACUUAAAUAGUUUAAAUAAAAUAUUGAUUUGUGGUGUCAGUGAUAUAAUUAUAUUAUUUUAGGUU